This 253-nucleotide ribosomal RNA is filed under the name uncultured bacterium. RNAcentral's name for it is "partial 16S ribosomal RNA". It matches the Rfam family "Bacterial small subunit ribosomal RNA", at positions 524 to 776 of the family's 1533-position model. The record is from RNAcentral.
UACGUAGGGGGCCAGCGUUGUUCGGAAUUACUGGGUGUAAAGGGUUCGUAGGCGGUGUGGCAAGUUGGGAGUGAAAUCUCUGGGCUCAACCCAGAGACGGCUUCCAAAACUGCCGUGCUUGAGUGUGGGAGAGGCUCGUGGAAUUGCAGGUGUAGCGGUGAAAUGCGUAGAUAUCUGGAGGAACACCGGUGGCGAAGGCGGCGUUCUGGACUGCAACUGACACUGAUGAACGAAAGCCAGGGGAGCAAACGGG